Molecule: long non-coding RNA, 670 nt
Organism: Gadus morhua (Atlantic cod)
Lineage: Eukaryota; Metazoa; Chordata; Actinopteri; Gadiformes; Gadidae
Exons: 2
Source: RefSeq, a predicted model, not a curated record
GUGGAGGAGCUGAGGUGGAGGAGUCGAGUUGGAGGAGCUGAGUUGGAGGAGUCGAGGUGGAGGAGCUGAGGUGGAGGAGCUGAGGUGGAGGAGCCGAGGUGGAGCAUCACAGGUGUACCUUCAGGAGUUCGUCACCGAGCAAACAGCCCGCCGCCCCGCGCUGGAACCAACAACCACAAGACUUAUGGAAAACACAAGGACACAUAUAAGUCACGGGGAGACCUGUGUGUGUGUGUGCGUGUGUGUGUGUGUGUGUGUGUGUUUGUGUGUGUGUGUGUGUGAGAGAGACUGUGUGUGUCCUUGUGUUUAGCUCUGUGUGCUUUAAGAAUAGCUUGGAUUCAAUUUGGCAUUUAAAAGAGGUUACUUCAGCAAAAUUGAUCAACGUGCUAUUGCUCCUCUAAAAAUCAACAACAUGGCCAUGUUAUAUUUUUUACACCGUUCUAUUUUUUUGAAAUGUAAUUUCUUUGUGGAUUUAUGAUUCUAGGUUUAUUUCCUUUCUGUAAAGCUGAUAAGAUGUGUUGUGAUUUUUUUUACUGCGUUGAUUUGUAGAAUUAACAUCUUGGCCUCCUCAGCAUCACACAGUCCGUCUCUCUGAAUCCAGUUGAGCAAUUUGUAUGUCUAAUGUUUACAUGAUUGUCCAUAAUAAAUCUGUUUUCUAUUUUGCACUUUC